This 231-nucleotide long non-coding RNA is filed under the name Lathyrus oleraceus (garden pea). RNAcentral's name for it is "Pisum sativum (pea) long non-coding RNA (PSAT_LNC007162)". Lineage: Eukaryota; Viridiplantae; Streptophyta; Magnoliopsida; Fabales; Fabaceae. The record is from RNAcentral.
AGAUAUUAAGAGUCCUUAGUAGGUUUAUAAUAGUUUAGGUUGGAAAAGACUUUCCUACGACAGCGAGAAACCCUAUAUGAUGGUUGUCAUACCCCAAAUUUUCCCCUCAUUAAAUAAAUUGAUACAUUCAUCAUGACAUUUGCAUCAUCUGCAUAUCAUAACAUGCAUUUCAUCUUACACAAUGCCUAAAAUGUCAAUCAGAAUAGAUUUUUGGAUAUAAAGACAGACCGG